Long non-coding RNA from Pistacia vera, 796 nucleotides. RefSeq lists it as uncharacterized. The transcript is spliced from 3 exons. NCBI's taxonomy places the organism in Eukaryota, Viridiplantae, Streptophyta, Magnoliopsida, Sapindales, Anacardiaceae. The record is from RefSeq and is a predicted model, not a curated record.
UGUGAUAGCCUUCAGUUGAGGGUUUGUGUAAUAUGUAUAUGUAUGCUCCAGGAGCAUCAGAGCAUGCAUGUCAACAAGCCUGUCCAAUUGAUCAGAAGACACAAACACUUGCCUUGAGAAAUUUAACUGUUUACGAUUUUGUUGCUACUUCCUGUUUGAUUUGUUAUUUUAUUGCAUAUGUUUCUGGAGUUAAAAGGCCCCUGCAGCAGAACUGGGUCUGGGAGUUGAUGUGUUCUGUAGAUGAAUAUUACAUGUUUGCUAUAGUUUUCGUACUCUAUCAGCAAUCCUGCAGAGGUUCUUGGAAUAUAUUCUACCUGGAUUGGUGCUUUUUAGUUGGCUGCGGAGCUCAUUAUGGCUUCAGUUUAAACCCCAUCAUAUUGCUGCUGGUGCUGCCUACCUUGCUGCUAAGUUUCUAAAUUUGGAUCUUGCUGCUCAUCAGAAUAUCUGGCAGGAGUUCCAGACCACACCGGCAAUUCUUCAAGAUGUUUCACAGCAGUUGAUGGAGCUCUUCUGAUAGAAUAUUACUUUUUAGUCAUAAGGAUAAAGGUCAAUGAUACCCUUUUGCUAUGUGGUAUAUAUAAUAUAUAUAUAUAUAUAUAUAUAUAUAUGUGCAUUCUUUUACCAAAUCAGGAUAUGCUUAUCAGUAGAAUGUAGAAUGAGAAGACUUGUGUCUUGAAAGGAUUGGAUAUGUUCAUAUCGUCUUUCUGAACUGGCUGCAAAGAUAUUUUGUUACAGGUAUCAACUUGUCGGAGCAAUGACAAAAUGAAAUGAUGAUUAAUUUGCCAAAUUCUACUCU